GUAGUUAAUUAAAUGGUUGCGUAGUGUCAAUACCGAAAGGUGACAUACGAGGAAAGUCCGGGCCCCAUAGAGCAAGGAUGCUUGAUAACGUCAAGUGAGGGUAACCUUAAGGAAAGUGCAACAGAAAAUAACCGCAAGAUUUAUCUUGUAAGGGUGAAAAGGCGAGGUAAGAGCUCACCGUAGGAAUAGUGAUAUUCCUAGCCGUGUAAACCCCAUCCGGAGCAACACCGAAGCUUGGAGGCUAAUGACUGCUCGUCACUCCUAAAUUUGGUGGCAUGAGAUAUAUAGCAAUAUAUGUACUAGAUAAAUGACCAUUCUCGACAGAACCCGGCUUAUAGAUUAACUACAUAA
Clostridium sp. CAG:793 is the source of this 351-nucleotide non-coding RNA. NCBI's taxonomy places the organism in Bacteria, Bacillati, Bacillota, Clostridia, Eubacteriales, Clostridiaceae. The record is from Rfam.